Molecule: long non-coding RNA, 275 nt
Organism: Nothoprocta perdicaria
Lineage: Eukaryota; Metazoa; Chordata; Aves; Tinamiformes; Tinamidae
Exons: 3
Source: RefSeq, a predicted model, not a curated record
CUGCAAUCCUGAAACAGGUCCAGCUGUAGACCAUGAUCAGAAGCAGCAGCAUGCUAUGGGACUUCCAGGGGAAUGGCUGUAGACUUGCAAAGAAAUAGUGCCCUGCAGAAAUUAUGUGUGGGAAGUUAAAGGAUGAGACAUGGGACAGACUGUAGAAAGUAGAAUCAUCACCCUUCAUCACCCAGAUCAGGAAUCGCUUUCCAAGGAGGUGCCCACAUGAGGAGAGCUGGAGACAGUGACUGGGAUUGACCAUGGCUCAGCGAUUGCUGGGCAUA